This 465-nucleotide long non-coding RNA is filed under the name Zonotrichia albicollis (white-throated sparrow). RNAcentral's name for it is "lncRNA (ENSZALG00000017049.1)". Lineage: Eukaryota; Metazoa; Chordata; Aves; Passeriformes; Passerellidae. The record is from RNAcentral.
CAGAGCCUUUGCCAGGCAGGGCAUUUCCGACCCAUCUCCACAUUCUUGUGAACUUUGCGUCGUCAGCCUUCCUCGACUCGACACCGUCAUGGAUCUUUACCCCGAGGAGCUCGCCUUCAGGUCCCCAAUGCUGCUGACUUCCCCAGGAUCUGCCAUUUAUGUCAAGGAGCGGCAGCCAGAAGAUGUGUCAAAGCACGUUCUUCAGAGUCUCAGGUUUUGCAACUCAUUGUUAAAUUUAGAAUAAAAAAUCCCCAGCUGCCUUCCCCCCCUCAACCCGGCUGUUUUUUUUUUUUUCUUGGUCCUAGUCGGGUAAAAACCCAGAAAAAUACCCUAAGAUAGGCUAAAAAAGACCUAAAAAACCCAGUAAAAAAAACCAAGAUGGGCAGGAAAAACCCAGGAAAAAGCCCCGAAAAAACCCCAAGAUGGCAACAAUAAAACCCCACAAAACUCAGGAAAAAAACCUCA